UCUUUAAGUUCGGGUUUUCUGUUCAGUCUUUGUUGGAUCGUUUUGUGUUGUUCCUUCUGCUAGUUCUGUUCAGCCCUGUUUACCUGUCCGUGACCAUUCACUAUUAAAAGAGUUUUUUCAUCAUAUCUGCAUUCCGGCCUCUGCGUUUGGGUCUGCUCCUGCAUCUCCUGAGCCCUGACAGUGAUUUGACUUUCAAGGGCUCAAGUGAAAAAUGCAUGCUGAGGUUCCUUGAGCAUCAAAGAAAUCUCGGACUAAAUCACUCACUCACCAGAAAGCAGCUAUUGUAUUGGAUCAAACUGACUGAGUGACAUUGCCCUUUGUACAGCAAUCAGAGUCUAGGAACAAAAUGUUCAUGAAAAUGAGAUGCACUCUGGCCCUUCGCAGUCUUCCGGUGUAUCAGUGUGAGGGGUCUCUGAGUUCUUCAAGACCAGCAGUGUAACUUCUCAGUACACUCACAGAAAUGUCAAUAUCUGUCAGUACAGUGUUGAAAUAACAUAUUGUAUGGGAAACGAACUUGAACACCUCCUGUAGCAUUCUCAAAAUUUAAGUAGAUUCAAGGAUAGGUUUGGACUUUUUCAAGUCUAUCUCAAUUCAAUAUUCAAAUGUAUAUCGACAAAGUUAUUAGUGGGUGGAAAUUAUUCGUCCUAUCUCCAUAAUAGCUGUAAAGCAGUCCUUUCCUAUCAGGUAGGAUGAGUCUCUAACCGGUCUGCAGAAUUACAUUGAGUGUGUUCUGCCAGUUAUCAAGUGGCUCCACAUGAUCACAGCUGAUGGAGGCCACUGUCCAGUGAGAGCUUGAUUCUAACUGAUGCUACCUGGAUGAGAUGUCCCAAACUGAUUUACUUCACAAUAGUUGAUGCUUCAUAUGAUGUCCACUGUCUGUGUAGAUUAGUCACUGCAUAAAUGCCUAUUUAAAAGAUGCCUGUUUUUUGUCUAGCUGUCAACAUAUCCACAUUUCUAUUUAUUUUUUGAGACAUUGAGUGUACAAACCUAUUGAUGAGGAGGUUCACUCAGUGCGACACCUGCUGGUCAUUUUUUGUAACUACUUUUGGCAUGCUUGCUGUUGGUUCUAUGCCAUUGAUCUCUGUAAUUGUUGAGAGCUCAUAGUACCCUAUUACCCCACUAGAAAACUGUGCUCCCAGAA
This is a long non-coding RNA of Thunnus maccoyii (southern bluefin tuna), 1141 nucleotides long. RefSeq lists it as uncharacterized. The transcript has 5 exons. The record is from RefSeq and is a predicted model, not a curated record. Lineage: Eukaryota; Metazoa; Chordata; Actinopteri; Scombriformes; Scombridae.